CAGUUGGCAGUAAGCAGGCAUUUUCCAGAAGAAUCCCGAAGGCAAAUACUCUGUUCUGCUCUCAGUUAACCUGUGCUACUGUCAGACCACAUACACUGUAGAGUUCAGAGGUAGCUGCUAUGGGAGUGAAUCUUCUUGCUGCUGCCAAAGACGGGCCGCAUGUCCCAGGGUUUCUGCUGAGCAACCAGUCAGCGUGCUGCUGAGCACCCGGGCCCGAUGUGAAAUGGUCAGCUCCUUUCCUUCUACCAGUGCCAACUGCUGCACCUGCCAGCCUCUGCCUAGCCUCCACCACUGAUGCUGCUGUAAGAGGAAGAAGAUUCCUGUCUUAACAGAAUUCUCAUGCAUGCCUUUCAAACCGAGGAGCUCACAGGCUGACGGAAGAGGAUGACAGGGAGUGGAGGCAGCUGCACUCGGGUGUUUAUAGUGCACAUACAUGAUUCAUCUCAAACCAGACAAGCCAUGCUGCACCCGACGGCUCGCCAUUUCUCAGAGAUGCCAAGCCUUCUUACAACUCUGAGCCUCUGCAUGUGUCUAGAACAUUUUACCCAUAUUUCUCUACCUGCUGGACUCCUUUCCAUCCUUCAAAACUCAGACCAAAUGUCCUUGCUCUGUGAAACCCUCCUUCUUCCCAGGGGACUCCUGCAGGCCAGCAGCAGGGACGGACUCACCUCCCUGUGCCCUCUCCCAGCAGAUGACCUCAGCCCUCACAGUUGAAGAAGUUGGCCUGCAGGCAUGCGGAGGGAGUGCCCGCUGGAACCCAGGGCCAGGACAGGGCCUGUGCAGAGGAGUCCACCUUCAGCAAGACGGACCACCAAUACUCUGCGACUUAGAGAAGGAGACUGAGGAAUAAAUGCCCAGACCGUACUCCGCUCCUGCCCUCCUGGUUUCCUGCCAGAGUCUCCCCUUGUCUGAAGCCAACCUGAAGACACCCCUUGAGGACCCCUUCACUGUACUGGGACCAUGGGGGGCUGAGCCUCUGGGAUCAGUCACCUCCCUAACCUCCUGCAUGAGGAACAACUUGACGAACACACAUUUCAACCUGUAACAGGGUGGACAAGCAGAACCCUUCUUCAGAAGCACAUUUAUGAAGUUCCCGCAGUAACUGGCUCAGAGAGAAAUGCUGCUGUAACAGCUGAGAGAAAACUGAUAACCCUGAAAAUAAAGUGUCCAUGGAAAUCUCAUAUAUUGCCUAUUGUUUAAAAACAAUGUCUCACAUAAAAGAGGUGAUGGAUUAGUUUCUUUCAUUAUGCUGCCUCAAG
Molecule: long non-coding RNA, 1259 nt
Filed under: Homo sapiens (human)
Lineage: Eukaryota; Metazoa; Chordata; Mammalia; Primates; Hominidae
Description: HSALNT0144442
Source: RNAcentral